This 584-nucleotide unclassified non-coding RNA is filed under the name Talaromyces thailandensis. Its description in RNAcentral is "sequence contains 18S rRNA gene, ITS1, 5.8S rRNA gene, ITS2, 28S rRNA gene". The stretch from base 222 to 375 matches the Rfam family "5.8S ribosomal RNA". The record is from RNAcentral. Lineage: Eukaryota; Fungi; Ascomycota; Eurotiomycetes; Eurotiales; Trichocomaceae.
UCGUAACAAGGUUUCCGUAGGUGAACCUGCGGAAGGAUCAUUACCGAGUGCGGGCCCUCGCGGCCCAACCUCCCACCCUUGUCUCUAUACACCUGUUGCUUUGGCGGGCCCACCGGGGCCACCCGGUCGCCGGGGGACGCUCGUCCCCGGGCCCGCGCCCGCCGAAGCGCUCCAAGAACCCUGAUGAAGAUGGGCUGUCUGAGUACUAUGAAAAUUGUCAAAACUUUCAACAAUGGAUCUCUUGGUUCCGGCAUCGAUGAAGAACGCAGCGAAAUGCGAUAAGUAAUGUGAAUUGCAGAAUUCCGUGAAUCAUCGAAUCUUUGAACGCACAUUGCGCCCCCUGGCAUUCCGGGGGGCAUGCCUGUCCGAGCGUCAUUUCUGCCCUCAAGCACGGCUUGUGUGUUGGGUGUGGUCCCCCCGGGGACCUGCCCGAAAGGCAGCGGCGACGUCCGUCUGGUCCUCGAGCGUAUGGGGCUUUGUCACUCGCUCGGGAAGGACCUGCGGGGGUUGGUCACCACCAUAUUUUACCACGGUUGACCUCGGAUCAGGUAGGAGUUACCCGCUGAACUUAAGCAUAUCAAUAA